GGCCAGGACUAGGAUUCCAUUUCCCUACCAUAGUCUUUGGCAUCCACUACAUACUGCUGGAUUACUUCCGAGGCAUUCAACUUCGUGGAUUUAUAUCGAGCAAGCAGGCGCUUGAUAACUUUGAGGCUAUGCGCAGUGGCAUCAUGGUAAUGGUAUUGCUCGAUGCAUCUUAUAAACUUUUCACUGGUUAUAAGCGAUUCGGAGUGUGGAGGUUUGGUAACUAGUGCCAGAGUUACCUAGAUAUCGGGGCAGCAUCAAGUGUCGUUAAUAUUAAUCUAUAUUCUGCAUAAUAUUAUGCCUUAAAUUUCCUUUAUGUUCUAUAAUAAAUUCAAUGUUCACUU
Macrobrachium nipponense is the source of this 341-nucleotide long non-coding RNA. RefSeq lists it as uncharacterized. The record is from RefSeq and is a predicted model, not a curated record. NCBI's taxonomy places the organism in Eukaryota, Metazoa, Arthropoda, Malacostraca, Decapoda, Palaemonidae. The transcript is spliced from 2 exons.